Molecule: ribosomal RNA, 195 nt
Filed under: uncultured Acaulospora
Lineage: Eukaryota; Fungi; Glomeromycota; Glomeromycetes; Diversisporales; Acaulosporaceae
Description: partial 18S ribosomal RNA
Rfam family: Eukaryotic small subunit ribosomal RNA
Source: RNAcentral
CUGGUGCCAGCAGCCGCGGUAAUUCCAGCUCCAAUAGCGUAUAUUAAAGUUGUUGCAGUUAAAAAGCUCGUAGUUGAAUUUCGGAAUCUGUCCGUCGGUCGGGCUUCACUGUCCGCACUGGUGUGAUGGGUUUCUACCUUCGGAAUAACCGGCAUGUCAUUAAUUUGGUGCGCCGGGAAAGCGAACCUAUUACCU